Molecule: small RNA, 153 nt
Filed under: Desulfosporosinus sp.
Lineage: Bacteria; Bacillati; Bacillota; Clostridia; Eubacteriales; Desulfitobacteriaceae
Also listed under: 1 other name
Description: Magnesium sequence
Rfam family: M-box riboswitch aptamer (ykoK leader)
About the family: M-box riboswitch, also know as ykoK leader is described as a metaloregulatory RNA that sense divalent metals and function as a genetic control element of genes related to divalent metal transport in bacteria. It was first reported upstream of the B.subtilis ykoK gene and genes with related functions in other bacteria.
Source: RNAcentral
UUGAUUUCUUGGUAAUACUUUGUUGUACUUUGUAACCGUGUGUCGAGAGACGCCAAUUGGGUAGAACAGGUAUUGCCGACAUAAGGUUUUACUUAAGGUGGCUGAGAAAACUCUACGCUAUGCAGUGCUAAAGCUCAACGAGUGGGGAGGUCC